Molecule: unclassified non-coding RNA, 203 nt
Filed under: soil metagenome
Description: partial contains 5.8S ribosomal RNA, internal transcribed spacer 2, and large subunit ribosomal RNA
Source: RNAcentral
AACCUAGCACACCUGCGGUGUGUACCUGCGGAAGGAUCAUUACCUAGAGUUGUAGGCUUUGCCUGCUAUCUCUUACCCAUGUCUUUUGAGUACCUUACGUUUCCUCGGCGGGUUCGCCCGCCGGUUGGACAAAACUUAAACCCUUUGUAGUUGCAAUCAGCGUCUGAAAAAACUUAAUAGUUACAACUUUUAGCAAUGGAUCU